GUAGGUGGCAAGCGUUGUCCGGAAUUAUUGGGCGUAAAGCGCGCGCAGGCGGUUCUUUAAGACUGAUGUGAAAGCCCACGGCUCAACCGUGGAGGGUCAUUGGAAACUGGAGAACUUGAGUACAGAAGAGGAAAGCGGAAUUCCACGUGUAGCGGUGAAAUGCGUAGAGAUGUGGAGGAACACCAGUGGCGAAGGCGGCUUUCUGGUCUGUAACUGACGCUGAGGCGCGAAAGCGUGGGGAGCAAACAGGAUUAGAUACCCUGGUAGUCCACGCCGUAAACGAUGAGUGCUAAGUGUUAGGGGGUUUCCGCCCCCCUUAGUGCUGCAGCUAACGCAUUAAGCACUCCGCCUGGGAGUACGGCCGCAAGGCUG
Molecule: ribosomal RNA, 372 nt
Filed under: uncultured organism
Description: partial 16S ribosomal RNA
Rfam family: Bacterial small subunit ribosomal RNA
Source: RNAcentral